RNAcentral lists this ribosomal RNA (122 nucleotides) under Microcebus murinus (gray mouse lemur). Lineage: Eukaryota; Metazoa; Chordata; Mammalia; Primates; Cheirogaleidae. The record is from RNAcentral.
GUCUAUGGCCAUACCACCCUGAAUGCACCCAAUCUUGUCUGAUCUUGGAAUCUAAGCAGGGUCAGGCCUGGUUGGCACUUGGAUGGGCGAAUUGAGCACUGAGUAGAGAAGUAUUUUAGAAA